GGGGAAUUUUGGACAAUGGGGGCAACCCUGAUCCAGCCAUUCCGCGUGAGUGAAGAAGGCCUUCGGGUUGUAAAGCUCUUUCAGCUGGAACGAAACGGUGCGCUCUAACAUAGCGCGCUACUGACGGUACCAGCAGAAGAAGCACCGGCUAACUACGUGCCAGCAGCCGCGGUAAUACGUAGGGUGCGAGCGUUAAUCGGAAUUACUGGGCGUAAAGCGUGCGCAGGCGGAUUGUUAAGCAAGACGUGAAAUCCCCGGGCUUAACCUGGGAAUGGCGUUUUGAACUGGCAGUCUAGAGUGCGUCAGAGGGGGGUGGAAUUCCACGUGUAGCAGUGAAAUGCGUAGAGAUGUGGAGGAACACCGAUGGCGAAGGCAGCCCCCUGGGAUGACACUGACGCUCAUGUACGAAAGCGUGGGUAGCAAACA
This 426-nucleotide ribosomal RNA is filed under the name uncultured bacterium. RNAcentral's name for it is "bacterial SSU rRNA". It matches the Rfam family "Bacterial small subunit ribosomal RNA", at positions 356 to 774 of the family's 1533-position model. The record is from RNAcentral.